AUAAUGUUAUCGAACUUUUAUUAUAUUUGUUUUGUUAAAAUACUACGUAUGGUUAUAAAAACAUAGUAAGUAUAAAUAUAUGUAUAUUUCUCAGAAAUCCUUUAAAAAACAGGUAACUUUUCAUGCAUUAUUAUUUUUAAACAUUUUAAUUAUAUGCCAAAUAAAUACAUUUUUAACCAACCUUAGCUUCAAUAACAUAUACACUAAAAAAUUUGUAUAUAAAACAUUUUGCCAUCUGACUUCAAAUUAGCAGGUCUGAACUGAGGAUAAUAUUAAAAUUGACAUUCCAGUUAAUCCAGGAAACAGAGGAGGCCUUAGGUAUUGCAUCAGGAGUUAGGAGAGUCAGAGUUAUAACAAAGAAGAUCGUGUGGCUCCUUUGAAGAAAAAGUGAGAAUAAGCAGCAAGAUUAAAGCCAUAAAAAACUAGAAUAAUGAUUGACUCAAUUUUGAUGAACUGAAAAGGCUAUGGAUAACAAGAGUUCCAGAACUUCCUUUUCUAUGAAGUCCUGUGCCUGCUCAUUGAAAAACAAUGAAUCAGUCUAGACUUGCAAGACGAAAUAAUUCCCUCAAAGCUGGACAUUUAUAUAUUAUUUAUGUAGCAUAUUUCAAUAUUGAUGGUAUAGCCUCAUAUACAGUUGAUUGUAAAACCAUUCUUUCUGUUAGAGUAGGUAGGCAGACAUGAGCAGGGCAGGAGAAGCCCACCCACACAUACCAGGAAUGUCAAGAGAGCAUCAGGUGAUGGUCAGGCAGCUGUUAAACUGCCUCUCUAACAUAAUAAUUGAUUCCAGCUGGUACCGGUGAAAGGCAGUCUCCCAACAGAUAGAAAACACCUGAAGCUGGUGAUCAGCAGCUUUAGAAAACACGGGAAGCUGGUGAUCAGCAGCUUCCAGAUAAGAUCUCAGCACUCUAAGAGACAAGAUGGUGGAAUUUAACUAGUAUAUGACCUUUCUUUAGGAACGCUCAACUGGUAUCCAGAUGCAGAAGUCUUACUUCCUGCUUUUCUAUGACAUCAUCCUUCAGAAGGCGGGGCAUAGGCAAGAACAUGAUAAAGAACAAAUUUGCUAAAAAAUGACAUGCUUAGGAGAACUACAAAGUGUGAGAGCUUCAUGUUGGCAUCUGGCUGAAGCAAACAUGGGAAGAACACCAGCAGUAUUCAUAAGCAGAGAAUGAGACAGUCUCACUUGAACACAAAAUAUAUCAUGUUGGCCAUUUAUUUGAUGUCUAUAAAAAUAUAAACAAUUCUUUUUACCAAGAGAUCAAUUGCAGUGAACUUCUUACUAUUCUGUUUGGUUAAAAUGUACAAUGUAGAUUAAUGACAUGUAUCUCUAAUGUUGGAAAUUUAUGUAUUAAC
This 1350-nucleotide long non-coding RNA is filed under the name Homo sapiens (human). Its description in RNAcentral is "HSALNT0204732". The record is from RNAcentral. Lineage: Eukaryota; Metazoa; Chordata; Mammalia; Primates; Hominidae.